AGCGAACGCUGGCGGCAGGCCUAACACAUGCAAGUCGAACGAACCUUUCGGGGUUAGUGGCGGACGGGUGAGUAACACGUUGGAACGUGCCUUUAGGUUCGGAAUAACUCAGGGAAACUUGUGCUAAUACCGAAUGUGCCCUUCGGGGGAAAGAUUUAUCGCCUUUAGAGCGGCCCGCGUCUGAUUAGCUAGUUGGUUGAGGUAAUGGCUCACCAAGGCGACGAUCAGUAGCUGGUCUGAGAGGAUGAUCAGCCACAUUGGGACUGAGACACGGCCCAAAACCGUGCGGGGGAGCGUGGUGGGGAAAUUGGCGCAAGGGGCGAAAGCCUGAAGCGGCCGGGCCGGGAGAAAGAGGAGGGUAUUGGGAUUGGAAAAUUCUUUCACCGGGGAGGAUAGGAGCGGACCCGGGGGAGGAAGCCCCGCUAAACAUGGG
Molecule: ribosomal RNA, 433 nt
Filed under: uncultured bacterium
Lineage: Bacteria
Description: partial 16S ribosomal RNA
Rfam family: Bacterial small subunit ribosomal RNA
Source: RNAcentral